This 399-nucleotide ribosomal RNA is filed under the name uncultured bacterium. Its description in RNAcentral is "partial 16S ribosomal RNA". It matches the Rfam family "Bacterial small subunit ribosomal RNA", at positions 360 to 773 of the family's 1533-position model. The record is from RNAcentral.
AAUAUUGCGCAAUGGAGGAAACUCUGACGCAGCGACGCCGCGUGAGCGAUGAAGGUCUUCGGAUCGUAAAGCUCUGUCCUCAGGGAAGAAGAAAGUGACGGUACCUGAGGAGGAAGCCCCGGCUAACUACGUGCCAGCAGCCGCGGUAAUACGUAGGGGGCAAGCGUUGUCCGGAAUUACUGGGCGUAAAGGGCGUGUAGGCGGCUAAAUAAGUCAGGUGUGAAAACUGUGGGCUCAACCCAGAGAUUGCACCUGAAACUGUCUAGCUUGAGGGUAGGAGAGGAAAGUGGAAUUCCUAGUGUAGCGGUGAAAUGCGUAGAUAUUAGGAGGAACACCAGUGGCGAAGGCGACUACCUGGGCUAAUACUGACACUGAGGUGCGAAAGCGUGGGGAGCAAAC